UACAGAGGGUGCGAGCGUUAAUCGGAAUUACUGGGCGUAAAGCGUGCGUAGACGGUUACGUAAGUCGGGUGUGAAAGCCCCGGGCUCAACCUGGGAAUUGCAUUCGAGACUGCGCAGCUAGGGUGCGGAAGAGGGAAGCGGAAUUUCCGGUGUAGCGGUGAAAUGCGUAGAUAUCCGGAGGAACAUCAGUGGCGAAGGCGGCUUCCUGGCCUAAGACUGACGCUGAGGAGCGAAAGCCAGGGGAGCAAACGGG
RNAcentral lists this ribosomal RNA (253 nucleotides) under uncultured bacterium. RNAcentral's name for it is "partial 16S ribosomal RNA". It matches the Rfam family "Bacterial small subunit ribosomal RNA", at positions 524 to 776 of the family's 1533-position model. The record is from RNAcentral.